Molecule: long non-coding RNA, 569 nt
Filed under: Cricetulus griseus (Chinese hamster)
Lineage: Eukaryota; Metazoa; Chordata; Mammalia; Rodentia; Cricetidae
Description: lncRNA (ENSCGRG00015040216.1)
Source: RNAcentral
GCAGGCACCAUCAUUGUAAUGGAGAAUGCAGGGGCAGCUCCCUACACAGUGUGGCAUUGAUGUGUGUAAACAGACAAGAUAAUGGGAGCUGAAGGUCCCAUGCAGGUUCCCCAGCUGCCAGUCCAUAGUCCAUGAGCUCCCACUAGCUCAGGUCAACUGUCUCUGUGGUUUUCCCCAUCGAAGCAAAUGCAGUGACCCACAGCCAAGCACUGGGCUGAACUCCUGGAGUUCAGUUGAAGAAAGGAAGGAUCUUAUGAACAAGGUUUGUUUCCUGAAAAAGCAGCAGACGGGAGGAAGAGGAGGACAUAGGCCUAAGACACAGAACAAGUCAGCCUGGAUUCCAGACCACCAGGUGCUAAACUGGGAAUCUGCGCCAGAGCCUAGGAGGGAAAGAACUGAGCAGCAGCUGCUGGCUCUCACUCCCCGCCCCGCGCAAGGCCAACCCCCGCCGGAUCGCUCCGGAUCGCUCUGUCCCAAGGCCAGCCAUCUGGACCAGCAGAAGAUAAGGCCGUUUCGCCUGACUAUUAAACCUUGAGAAAAUGCUGAUUUGAUGCUUUUCGCUUCUGUAC